GACGUAGGGCGCGAGCGUUGUCCGGAUUUAUUGGCGUAAAGAGCUCGUAGGCGGCUCGUUGCGUCGGCUGUGAAAACCCGCGGCUCAACCGUGGCUUGCAGCUGAUACGGGCGGGCUGGAGUUGGUAGGGAGACUGGAAUUCCUGGUGUAGCGGUGAAAUGCGCAGAUAUCAGGAGGAACACCGGUGGCGAAGGCGGGUCUCUGGGCCGAUACUGACGCUGAGGAGCGAAAGCGUGGGGAGCGAACAGG
Molecule: ribosomal RNA, 249 nt
Filed under: uncultured bacterium
Lineage: Bacteria
Description: partial 16S ribosomal RNA
Rfam family: Bacterial small subunit ribosomal RNA
Source: RNAcentral